Molecule: long non-coding RNA, 330 nt
Organism: Ictalurus punctatus (channel catfish)
Lineage: Eukaryota; Metazoa; Chordata; Actinopteri; Siluriformes; Ictaluridae
Source: Ensembl
AACAUGGGAAGACAGGAACAUGGAAACUGGGAGACAGGAAUACAGAAACUGGGAGACAGGAAUACAGAAACUGGGAGACAGGAAUACAGAAACUGGGAGACAGGAAUACAGAAACUGGGAGACAGGAAUACUGAAACUGGGAGACAGGAAUACAGAAACUGGGAGACAGGAAUACUGAAACUGGGAGACAGGAAUACUGAAACUGGGAGACAACUGGGAGGCAGGAAUCCUGAAACUGGGAGACAGGAAUACAGAAACUGGGAGGUAGGAAUCCUGAAACUGGGAGGCAGGAAUACAGAAACUGGGAGGCAGGAAUACAGAAACUGGGAG